RNAcentral lists this unclassified non-coding RNA (680 nucleotides) under Hevea brasiliensis (rubber tree). The record is from RNAcentral. Lineage: Eukaryota; Viridiplantae; Streptophyta; Magnoliopsida; Malpighiales; Euphorbiaceae.
GCCCUUUCUCUUCACAAACCAUCAUUUUUAACUCUCCUAUCUGUUCUUUUAAUCUCUGCUGCUCUAUUCAUCUUCCUUAUAUGGCGGACGUCUCCAGGAACAGAACCUCCGCCUCUGUCCCUUCUACAUCGCAGCCCAGCCGUCUUCAGAGCCGGCGACCGGCGUCCUUGCAGAUCAAUCCCCCCUCUUCCUCCUGCUGGAACGCAGCCAUCCCUCUUCUGUCUCCUCUUGUUACUUCACCUGUCGCGAUUGAUCGGAUGGCAGAAAUGAAAUCGCGAGAGGAUCACCAGCAGCCGUCUCAGCAUCGAAAUCAGAGAUCGGAGCCGGAGAAGGUUGCAGUGUUCAAGAAGUGGCAGCACCUGGCAGCUCCUUUCUGUUGCGAGCCGCCCUCUUUUGCCCCUAAGUUUUUUGUGCCUGUAUAGAUAUGGGAAGGAAAGGAGCGCUUAAAAUUUAGGGGUUUUAUAGAUCUUCAUCUAGUAAUUGUAUACAAAGCUUGGAUUUCGUGUUCAUACGAUUAACGCUAAUCAUUUUUUUUUCCUUAAUCCUCUUAUUUUCCUACUAAUUUUGUUUGAGUUUUUGUUUAACAUCAAUUUCAAUGAAAUUAGAAUGACUUGAAACUCUGAAACUAAAAAUAAAAUAAAUUUUAUCUGUGUUUAGAAUUUUUUUUUUUUUCCUUUGUG